UCAGAGGAGAGAGCUGCAUGUUUCUCUGAGUCUCCGGGUCCAUGUUGGAGUUGCUCUGCUCUGCUGGGUCAUUUCAGGCCACGUCUGUCCGAGCACAGGAGCAAACGCUGGUAUUACAGGGAUAUCUAAUAAAGGACAUACACAUAUACUGUGCUGCAGCUUCGAGGUUUUCAUGUUGGGAGGGAUUCAUCCACCUCGGCCCUGGCAGGACUAAACCUUCCAAUGUCUUUCUGCUGACUAAAGAACUAUGGAUAUUGAAUGACUUUCCUGAGCCUCUGCUGCUCCAAACCACUCUGGAACGACUCCGAUAUCACAAAGAACAAGAUAUCAGCGAGUCCGUGGAUGACAACAGCAUGAUGUUGAAGGCCUAAUAUACAGCAGUAUGUCAGAAGCCCACGGGAGAGGAUACGUCAUCAUCGAACAGAGCGGAGAACAGCGACGCGGGUGUUUACAAAUGGACAGAGACACGUGUGUUUAUCAGGUGCAGAGUUACUGAUGAAGGAAUGCUGCCAUCAAAGGCUCAAGCUUUUGCGGCGGCAUUUGUGGGGGAAAAAAAA
Sinocyclocheilus anshuiensis is the source of this 557-nucleotide long non-coding RNA. RefSeq lists it as uncharacterized. Lineage: Eukaryota; Metazoa; Chordata; Actinopteri; Cypriniformes; Cyprinidae. The record is from RefSeq and is a predicted model, not a curated record. The transcript has 8 exons.